ACUGAUUGCGUUCACGUGGCGGCGGGAGGACGGAGGGUGCGGGGGUGAAUCGGAAUUACUUGGCGGAAAGCGGGCGCAGGCGGUUUUGUAAGACAGAUGUGAGAUCCCCGGGCUCAACCUGGGACCUGCAUUUGUGACUGCAAAGCUGGAGUGCGGCAGAGGGGGAUGGAAUUCCGCGUGUAGCAGUGAAAUGCGUAGAUAUGCGGAGGAACACCGAUGGCGAAGGCAAUCCCCUGGGCCUGCACUGACGCUCAUGCACGAAAGCGUGGGGAGCAAACAGGAUUAGAUACCCGUGUAGUC
This 300-nucleotide ribosomal RNA is filed under the name uncultured Methanocella sp. RNAcentral describes it as "partial 16S ribosomal RNA". It matches the Rfam family "Bacterial small subunit ribosomal RNA", at positions 496 to 795 of the family's 1533-position model. The record is from RNAcentral. Lineage: Archaea; Methanobacteriati; Methanobacteriota; Methanomicrobia; Methanocellales; Methanocellaceae.